AAAUCUUAUGCUAGAGGUGUCAGAAAAGUUACCACAGGGAUAACUGGCUUGUGGCAGCCAAGAGUUCAAAUCGACGUUGCUUUUUGAUCCUUCGAUGUCGGCUCUUCCUAUCAUUGUGAAGCAGAAUUCACCAAGUGUUGGAUUGUUCACCCUUCAAAAGGGAACGUGAGCUGGGUUUAGACCGUCGUGAGACAGGUUAGUUUUACCCUACUAAUGAAGUAGGAUUAUUCUAAUAGUAAUUCAAUUCAGUACGAGAGGAACCAUUGAUUCAGAUAUUUGGUUUAUAAGAUUAUUUGAACAGAUAGUGUCUUGAAGCUAUCAUCUGUAGGAUUACAACUGAACGCCUCUAAGUUGGAAUCCAUGCUAGAACUAAGAAUAAUGUAUUGAUCGUAAUAUUAAUAAAAAAAGAUAGA
RNAcentral lists this ribosomal RNA (413 nucleotides) under uncultured eukaryote. RNAcentral's name for it is "eukaryotic LSU rRNA". It matches the Rfam family "Eukaryotic large subunit ribosomal RNA", at positions 2787 to 3196 of the family's 3401-position model. The record is from RNAcentral.